GGGUGAUUAGCUCAGCUGGGAGAGCACCUCCCUUAUAAGGAGGGGGUCGGCGGUUCGAUCCCGUCAUCACCCACCA
RNAcentral lists this transfer RNA (76 nucleotides) under Escherichia coli. RNAcentral's name for it is "tRNA-Ile". It matches the Rfam family "tRNA". Rfam says of the family: Transfer RNA (tRNA) molecules are approximately 80 nucleotides in length. Their secondary structure includes four short double-helical elements and three loops (D, anti-codon, and T loops). The record is from RNAcentral. RNAcentral also lists the same sequence under 1 other name. Lineage: Bacteria; Pseudomonadati; Pseudomonadota; Gammaproteobacteria; Enterobacterales; Enterobacteriaceae.